GACGAACGCUGGCGGCGUGCCUAACACAUGCAAGUGGAGCGACGAACCAGGCUUCGGCCUGGGGCAAAGCCGCGAACGGGUGAGUAACACGUGGGUAACCUGCCCUGAUGAUUGGGACAACCCGAGGAAACUCGGGCUAAUACCGAAUGUGCCCUCCGGCCUCAAGGCCGCUGGGGAAAGGAAGCUUCGGCCUCCGCAUCGGGAUGGGCCCGCGGCCCAUUAGCUUGUUGGUGAGGUAACGGCNCACCAAGGCGACGAUGGGUAGCUGGUCUGAGAGGACGAUCAGCCACACUGGGACUGAGACACGGCCAGACUCCUACGGGAGGCAGCAGUGGGGAAUCUUGCGCAAUGCGCGAAAGCGUGACGCAGCAACGCCGCGUGGGGAAGAAGGCCU
Molecule: ribosomal RNA, 394 nt
Filed under: uncultured bacterium
Lineage: Bacteria
Description: bacterial SSU rRNA
Rfam family: Bacterial small subunit ribosomal RNA
Source: RNAcentral